Cyprinus carpio (common carp) is the source of this 173-nucleotide long non-coding RNA. RefSeq lists it as uncharacterized. The record is from RefSeq and is a predicted model, not a curated record. The transcript is spliced from 2 exons. NCBI's taxonomy places the organism in Eukaryota, Metazoa, Chordata, Actinopteri, Cypriniformes, Cyprinidae.
UACUGAUGGUCUGCAAGGAUGGCUCUGAAUGAUCAGUGCGUGAGUGAUCAGGACUGAUGGCCUAAUCAUAUCAGAGCUGUCGGGGACUUAGGUUCGAAUCCAGCCUGAAUCAUUUCCCGACCUCAUUCCCCCAUUUUCCUGUCUGUCUCUACUGUCCUAUCCGAAAACAAGGC